Long non-coding RNA from Oreochromis niloticus (Nile tilapia), 469 nucleotides. RefSeq lists it as uncharacterized. NCBI's taxonomy places the organism in Eukaryota, Metazoa, Chordata, Actinopteri, Cichliformes, Cichlidae. The record is from RefSeq and is a predicted model, not a curated record. The transcript has 3 exons.
UGCGUGCCCGUGGAGUCCUGCCUGUGCCCCUCAACAAUAACAUUUAACUAUUAAUCACAGUUUUGCGAAAUAAAAGGAUCUGGCUUGCAUCAGUCACAUGACUACCAUUAACCAAUGAUCGCCCUUGACGGAAGAGCGCGCUGGUUAUGAACUGGGAACGAGCACGCGCAUUUUUUGCCGUCUGAGCCGUCGGAGAAACACAGGUUAAUUGGGAGAGGCAGACUGAUGCAACAAAACUCAGCAAGUAAUAUCUACAGUCCCAGAUCAACAGAGCCCUUCCCUCCGGCACUAUCAGCAGCAGCAACCCCUCAACAGUGCCAUUGUACCGCAUCAGGUCCACAGCAGGGACAGGUCUCUCCAGCACCAGGAUCAGUUCUUUGCCAAGGUUGAACCACUCCAGCAAGGACACAGGUGCUGAUGUUCCCACUGACCCUUCUGCUUCACCUGCGAGUUUAAGCAUAAUGGCCAC